Molecule: RNA transcript, 3994 nt
Organism: Arvicanthis niloticus (Nile rat)
Lineage: Eukaryota; Metazoa; Chordata; Mammalia; Rodentia; Muridae
Gene: Nabp1
Gene name: nucleic acid binding protein 1
Source: RefSeq, a predicted model, not a curated record
AGUUGCUGCUUGGGACGCGGGCUGCGUGGUCUGUGUGCAGCGUUGCGGUUUUGCUGUCACGUACCUUCCCGGAGCCUGGGACUGAGGGGUCGCGCGCGUGUGCGUGUGUUGUGUGAGGGACAGAGGGACUCGGGCAGGGCCGUCCCCUGCCCCCUUUUCCCUUAGCGGAGGCGGCAGUCCGCACUCUUGUUUGCUCGCCGCCCACUUGGGAGCGGGCUCGGGGUGCGGAGUGCGUCUUCUGUUUUUGAUUUUGGAACUUGUGAGAGUCUUUUUUUCCCCCCCCACUCUUCCAUUUUUUUAUUUUUCUUUUGGCUUGGUGCCUCUAGGGCUGGUUUCCCCGGCGUCUGAGUAACCGCUUCCUGACCCCGGUCGCCAGCCCUGCCCCAGCUUGCACCCGGCUCUGCCCCUGGCCCCGGAGGGUGGGAAGCCUUGCCUAGUGGGUCUCUGAAGCGUAGCCGCACCUGCCUCAGUAUGCACGGGGUCAACGACCCUCCUCUUUUUAUAAAAGACAUUAAGGCCGGACUGAAAAACUUAAAUGUCGUCUUUAUUGUCCUGGAGAUAGGACGAGUGACCAAAACUAAAGACGGCCACGAAGUGAGAUCCUGCAAAGUAGCUGAUAGAACGGGAAGCAUCACUAUUUCUGUGUGGGAUGAGAUCGGAGGGCUCAUACAGACAGGGGAUAUUAUUCGGUUGACCAGAGGAUAUGCAUCAAUGUGGAAAGGAUGCCUGACACUUUAUACUGGAAGAGGUGGUGAACUUCAAAAAAUUGGAGAAUUUUGUAUGGUGUAUUCAGAAGUGCCAAAUUUCAGUGAGCCAAACCCAGAUUAUAGAGGACAGCAGAACAAAGGGAUACAAAGUGAACAGAAGGAUAAAAUGAGCACAAGUACCUUUGGACCAACGGGAAAUGGUGUUCAGACCAGCCCUGAAUCUAGGGGAUAUCAUCUUCCAUAUGGUAGAAGCAAUGGCCCAGGACCCAUCAGUCCACAGCUACCAGGAGCAUCUAGUAGUCAAACAGUCAGGCCCACAAUAAGUAAUGCCAGAGAUCCGAGAAGAGCCUUUAGAAGAUGACCUGAGCCAAAGAGACACAUGUAGUUUUUAAACUACGUGACCUACUUGAACACUUAGUGCACUUUUAUUUAUUCUUAACUGUGAAAACUUUGUCUCUUACGGGUUUCCUUUUAUAUUUUUGGUUUGUUAAAAAGAGUGGUUGGUUUUUACUGAAAAACUGUUAGGCUGCUCAGUUACAUCCUAUUGAAGAAUAGGAACUCUGAAAGCAGGAACAUUUAUUUUUAGAGCAAGAACUUACUGGGUAUCACUUGAAAACCUGUCCCUGUGUCCAGGGUGAGUUAAGACACCAGCUUAUAUAUAGCCUCUGUGAGUCUGGCUUCUGCAUAAACUUUGUAAUGUUUGCCAUAAUGUUUAAUGGAAAAAAGUCUUUUUUUUAAACUUGGACAUUGCUACUUGAAGCAAUAACCACUUCAAGCCAGAAACUUGGUCAGUGCAGACAGCAUUUUUGAGUGUUGAUCCAGGAAUGACUUGACUUCAUAGAGUUACUGCCUGCCAUUAAGAUUUUUCCAAGGACAAAAUCAUCCUAAACUCUUGUUUAAUGACCAGAUAACCAGAUUCUUUAUCAGAAUUGUGGAAUAAAAUGGGUAAUGUAACAAGUAAUUUUUAGAAGAAAACUGUUUAAGAUAAUGUUCUUAACAUUUGUUGCAAACAUUGAAGAUUACACUGAAGAAAAAUUUACAGCUGAGUCCAUGAAUAUUUUAUUUUUGAAGUUACCAUGUUAAAUGUUGGAGUGUAGUCGGAGGGAUUGAAGGGAGCUAUAGCACCUUAUUAGACGGUCUCAUUGAUACUAGUUGUAGUAUUUUUGAGACAGGGUCCUCCUGUGUAACCCUGGCUGGGUUGGAACUUGUUAUAUACAUCAGGUGUGUCUCUGAACUAUAGAUUGGCCCACCUCUCUCUUCCAGGUGCUGGGAUUAAAGUUGUGCAGCACCACAUGAGGCUAACCUGAUUAUUUACAAAGAAUACUCAUGUAAACAUGGAGAAGCCCAGUCCAUUUUCCUGAAGUUGUAAUCAGCUUCAUCCUGGCUGCUCCCUAGCUCUGGAAACUUCUAAAACCAAAGCAAAGUGAAAUCCAAACAAUAAUGAAUAAUUGCCUUUCCAAUCUUCUUGGAUACCACUCAUCAAGACGUAACAGAAGAGUGUUAACCUUCCUCUGGUGCCUUCAGUUAUCAACGAUGACAAAUUUCAACAAGACCCAAUGAAACACAAAACACAGUAUAGAAAUGCACUUCUAGGAUUGGGCCCCAUUACUGUUCCUAGGCACAGAACAAACACAUGGUCAGACUAGUCUUCUCCCUUUUAUCUGGCCGGGUUUACAGGGAGUUGCCACAGGAUAGAAAGUAAAAGAUGAAGUCUACAUGCCCAAAGGAUGAAGUUUGCCUCCCAAAAGCACUUUUAAAGACAAAAAAGUUUUAUGUAUUUAUUAUGUAUACAGUGUUCUGUGUGUAUGCAUGCUUGUAGGUCAGAAGGGGCACCAGAUCUCAUAGAUGGUUAUCAGCCACUGUGGGAUUGCUGGGAUUAAACUCAGGACCUCUGGAAGAACAGCCAUUGCUCUUAACCUCUGAGCCAUCACAGAAGUAUAGUUUUCCUAUACUUGACCAACUCUGUUUUGCUUUUUCUGGGUAGUCUUAGGAACUGUGUUAAACAUGAAGAGUGAUGAAUUUUUAAAGGAUAGUUUGAAGGUUAACUAGCCCUUUUUAAAUUUUUUUUAAAACUUGAGAUUACAUACCAAGUGAUCUUUACAGUCAGUGGAGUUGCUGAAAUGCUUCCCUUAUUAGGUAUGCUAGUGAGCAUAAUGGCUGUUUGCUUGAAGCCAUUUUAAGUUGUAUGUGACUCUUGAGGUUCUAAUGACUGUGAAAAGCACUGGAAGCAACAUACAGGCAUGUGCCAAGCUAGCUCUAACCUCACUGAGGUCUUGCCCUCCCUAUUUGUUUAAAACCUGGUAUUCUCUGUCUCUUACCUGAUGAAAGUCUGAUCAUUUUUAGUAGACAAGGAUCAUAUGGUUCCAGUCAUAUUCUAGUAAAAGUGGUAUUAGGAGGAAGUUAGGUACAGAUAACUUGGCCACAAUAAGACCCUUGUGUGCUGGGGCUCUAGAGAUUAGACACUGUUUACACAUGGCAGGGAUUAGACAGCCCGACAUCUCAUGGUUGUAAUUAUUAACACUUCAGGCAUGCUUCUGCUAAUAUCUAAGUGACCUUUGAAAAUGCAUUACCACUGUAUUACAUCCCAAGGAAGAAGCUAGAUUGUUUUCUAGUUAUAUUUAAGUUCACUAGAUGCCUUGAGGUUUGCUUUAUUGGGAAUACACUAGAAUUUGGAUCAGAAAGCUUUAGCCAAAUUAUGCCAAGCUUUUAAUGAACAAGGACUUGAUAUUUCUGAAACCACAAAUCAUAGACUCAAGAUCAAGUCCAUUAAGUUACUGAUAAGCAUUUUUUCACACUUAACACUAGGUCCAAAAGUACUACCAAGACCUAGUUUUAACCUUUGUGAGAUGUUCAAUGUAGGUCUUCUAGCCAUUUGAAGAGUAAAGAUAUACAACCCAAAAUUUUAUGAUAUGCCCCAAGUGUUAGGAGCUGAGUGACAGUUCAUUGUUUUUCUGUAGUACCUUAAUUCUGCAGAUUUAUUGACACACCUAUACUGAAGGUCUGUAGGCAUAUUUUAAAAAGCUUACUAUUUCCAGCUAGAAGUUAAAGAUCGUUCUAUGCCUUUUAAAGUUAAUUCACAUCUGGAUCAAGUUAGGCCAGUUUGUUCACAAACUAUGGAGUAAGCUUGAAAAUAUGUUCAGUAAAACUCUGGUUUUAAGUCACAUACAUGAAGCAUUUCAGAAGUGUGGAUUGCUAUUAUCUGGAAGGGAACUUAAAACUUGAAUCAAACACUCUGGAGAUCUUUGUUUUCAGUCGUCCUUGCUGUCUCCCUUUUACAAGGAGAUUAU